AAAUUAAGAAGUCUGUCCUGCCCACUGAAUGAAGUUUAAAGGGCCGCGGUAUUAUGACCGUGCAAAGGUAGCAUAGUCAAUAGUCUCUUAAUUGGAGGCUGGAAUGAACGGUUGGACGGGAAGAUAGCUGUCUUAACUGAGUACUACGAAUUUGACUUUUAUGUGAAAAGGCAUAAAUGGUUUGGGGGGACGAUAAGACCCUAUAAAACUUUAUAAUUUGAUUAGGAAUUUGAUUUGAGUUUAAUAUGUGCCUAAGGAUUGUUAUUUCGCUGGGGAGGUGGAAAUAAAAUUCUUCUAACUGUUUUAUAAUGUAAAUAACAAUAAUUAGAUGAUGACCCUGAAUUUUGGUUUAAAAGUUUAAGUUACUUUAGGGAUAACAGCGUAAUCUCUCUUGAGAGUUCAUAUCGACAGAGAUGGUUGCGACCUCGAUGUUGAAUUAAAAUUUCCUACAGGAGUAGAAAUUUGUGGGGUAGGUCUGUUCGACCUUUAAAGUUUU
This 496-nucleotide ribosomal RNA is filed under the name Leptalpheus forceps. Its description in RNAcentral is "partial large subunit ribosomal RNA". It matches the Rfam family "Bacterial large subunit ribosomal RNA", at positions 1840 to 2597 of the family's 2925-position model. The record is from RNAcentral. Lineage: Eukaryota; Metazoa; Arthropoda; Malacostraca; Decapoda; Alpheidae.